This 131-nucleotide microRNA precursor is filed under the name Pan troglodytes (chimpanzee). Its description in RNAcentral is "miRNA". Lineage: Eukaryota; Metazoa; Chordata; Mammalia; Primates; Hominidae. The record is from RNAcentral.
GGGUGUACACCCCCUGCGGCAUUGGGAGUAAUAUUAUAUCCACCCUUGGAAUGUACACCCAUGUGACAUUGGGAGUAAUAUCAUUCCCCCCUCUUAAAUAUUAUGAACAAUAACACAGAGGGUAUACACCC